Molecule: ribosomal RNA, 403 nt
Filed under: uncultured bacterium
Lineage: Bacteria
Description: bacterial SSU rRNA
Rfam family: Bacterial small subunit ribosomal RNA
Source: RNAcentral
GUGGGGAAUAUUGGACAAUGGGCGCAAGCCUGAUCCAGCCAUGCCGCGUGAGUGAUGAAGGCCUUAGGGUUGUAAAGCUCUUUUAGCGGGGAAGAUAAUGACGGUACCCGCAGAAAAAGCCCCGGCUAACUACGUGCCAGCAGCCGCGGUAAUACGUAGGGGGCAAGCGUUGUCCGGAUUUACUGGGUGUAAAGGGUGCUCAGGCGGAUUUGUAAGUCAGAGGUGAAAUCUUACAGCUUAACUGUGAAACUGCCUUUGAUACUGCAAGCCUAGAGUAUGGAAGAGAGUGAUGGAAUAUCUGGUGUAGCAGUGAAAUGCGUAGAUAUCAGAUAGAACACCAAUGGCGAAGGCAGUCACUUGAUCCAUUACUGACGCUAAAGCACGAAAGCGUGGGUAGCAAACA